AGCGUAGACGGAUGGACAAGUCUGAUGUGAAAGGGCUGGGGCUCAACCCCGGGACUGCAUUGGAAACUGCCCGUCUUGAGUGCCGGAGAGGUAAGCGGAAUUCCUAGUGUAGCGGUGAAAUGCGUAGAUAUUAGGAGGAACACCAGUGGCGAAGGCGGCUUACUGGACGGUAACUGACGUUGAGGCUCGAAAGCGUGGGGAGCAAACA
RNAcentral lists this ribosomal RNA (208 nucleotides) under uncultured bacterium. RNAcentral's name for it is "partial 16S ribosomal RNA". It matches the Rfam family "Bacterial small subunit ribosomal RNA", at positions 568 to 774 of the family's 1533-position model. The record is from RNAcentral.